This is a long non-coding RNA of Drosophila albomicans, 1395 nucleotides long. RefSeq lists it as uncharacterized. The record is from RefSeq and is a predicted model, not a curated record. Lineage: Eukaryota; Metazoa; Arthropoda; Insecta; Diptera; Drosophilidae. The transcript has 2 exons.
UGAAAUAUAUGUUUCAUAAUAAUUUAAGUGAUACAAAUUUUCUGCUUAAACUUUCUGCCAAAAAUAUCUGCGCAAACUUAUUCAAAAUGAAAUUAACUCUUAAUCAAGUUGUGCGAAUUCAAAGGCUUCCGAUGUUAUGAAAGAUUUUGCGAAUACAAAGCUAAAAAAGUUUCGCAGCUAAAGUUUAUUUCAAGUCAACGGAAGAGCAUCUUUCCAACCAGCAAAAAGUCACAGAAAAGACACUGUUGAAAAAGUUGGAAAAGAGCAAAAAAAAGAAUGUAAAAAGAUAUUUUUUAAGUGAUAGUGUAAUAAUAUUUCAACAGUUCAGUGAUUUCGCUUUAGCAAACUAAUCCCCUAAGAAGUGUUUCAACUCUUCCCCAAAACGUUGUUAAACCACAUAAUUGUAAUUGUAUUAAAAAAGCCAACAACAAGAACAAAAACAAGCAAAAGGACAACAAAAAGCGCCCAAGGACACAAAAAGCGGCACGCCCAGGACAACAACUAAUUAACUUUGCCAGUUUAAUGAAAAACUAAACGACAAAUGACAGGCCAAGAGCGCCCCAAGGAGAAGCCAUUCACCAACCCCAAACCCGUACAAAAACAAAAAAAAUAAAAUAACUCGAAACCAGAGAAGGCAGACGACGAGGCUCAUUCAUUUUUUAGCAGUGGCAGGACAUCUAGAGGAGGCUAAAGACCCCAACCAAACAAUCAUGAGUGGAGCGAGAGGGAGAGGGAGAGCAGCAACAAUUUCAGUGGUAGCAAAACACUAAACAAGUAUACGACAUGUGGUGCAACAUGGAUAUAUAAAUUUCAUUCAACUUGUUUUGCCUCCUCACCCAACUAAUUGCCGGAAGUUCAAGUGCACAACAAGCAGAAGCUGAAGCUGAAUCUGAAGCAGGAUAAGAAACAAAAGCAAAAAGCACAGCUUCAAGCUGAUUCCCAUCGAGUUUCGAGUCGAUUUCAAUUGGAAUUACCCCCUUCCAAUCACUUCUUUAGCUUUAGUCUUCCCCCUGUGCUCCUCCAGCGGUGCCUUGGGGAUUUGAAUGCUCCUAAAAGCAUUCGGUUUCAUAUUUAUUUAAUGAAUUCGUUUCGGGGCUUCUCUGGCGCCACUAAUUGCGCCAUAUUGUGCACAAAUCCCCAAACAAUCCCAGACCAAACAAAAGUCAUGCAUUGGCAAGCCGCAUAGGAAGCUAGCCGGGCGAUUUUUCAAUUUGUGCACCAUCAAAAACAAUUGAAGUGAACUGAAUGCUUGCCAAGUCGACUUGUUUGAUACUCUAUAAUGGAAGUAUAAUAAUAAACCAACUAGAGCGACUAUAUUAGUGUACAAUUGAAUUUCAUUCGAAGCUACAAUUAUAAAUCCUAAAUAAAUAAUUAUAUUAGAAUUCCUUUUAAAAA